UACGUAGGGUGCGAGCGUUAAUCGGAAUUACUGGGCGUAAAGCGUGCGCAGGCGGUUCGCUGUGUCCUGUGUGAAAGCCCCGGGCUUAACCUGGGAAUGGCAUGGGAAACCGGCGGGCUGGAGUGUGGCAGAGGGGGGUGGAAUUCCGCGUGUAGCAGUGAAAUGCGUAGAGAUGCGGAGGAACACCGAUGGCGAAGGCAGCCCCCUGGGCUAACACUGACGCUCAGGCACGAAAGCGUGGGGAGCAAACAGG
RNAcentral lists this ribosomal RNA (253 nucleotides) under uncultured bacterium. RNAcentral's name for it is "partial 16S ribosomal RNA". It matches the Rfam family "Bacterial small subunit ribosomal RNA", at positions 524 to 776 of the family's 1533-position model. The record is from RNAcentral.